GACGAACGCUGGCGGCGUGCUUAACACAUGCAAGUCGAACGGAAAGGCCCUGCUUUUGUGGGGUGCUCGAGUGGCGAACGGAUGAGUAACACGUGAGUAACCUGCCCUUGACUUUGGGAUAACUUCAGGAAACUGGGGCUAAUACCGGAUAGGAGCUCCUGCUGCAUGGUGGGGGUUGGAAAGUUUCGGCGGUUGGGGAUGGACUCGCGGCUUAUCAGCUUGUUGGUGGGGUAGUGGCUUACCAAGGCUUUGACGGGUAGCCGGCCUGAGAGGGUGACCGGCAAAGUUGGGACUGAGAUAGGGCCCAGACUCCUACGGGAGGAAGAAGUGGGGAAUAGUGGAAAAUGGGCGGAAGCCUGAUGGAGCAACGCCGCGGGCGGGAGGACGGCCUUGGGGUUGUAAACGGCUUUGGCCUGUGACGAAGCGUGAGUGACGGUAAUGGGUAAAGAGGCAGGGGCUAGGUAGGUG
Molecule: ribosomal RNA, 468 nt
Filed under: uncultured bacterium
Lineage: Bacteria
Description: partial 16S ribosomal RNA
Rfam family: Bacterial small subunit ribosomal RNA
Source: RNAcentral